This is a long non-coding RNA of Haliotis rubra (blacklip abalone), 634 nucleotides long. RefSeq lists it as uncharacterized. NCBI's taxonomy places the organism in Eukaryota, Metazoa, Mollusca, Gastropoda, Lepetellida, Haliotidae. The record is from RefSeq and is a predicted model, not a curated record. The transcript is spliced from 3 exons.
GGGUGAGUUAAGAUUUUAAGUCGCAUCAGCAAUAUUUCAGCCAUAUCGUGACUAAUAACAAGUUAAAAUGUCACACACAAAACAUUGAAAAUUAUAAAAGCCUGUCGGCGAAGGACAGUAAAAUUAACUAGAAUAUCACAGAUAUAAUUGUAAAACUAGUAUGAAUAUCUCUUAACUUUCAAAGACAAUACUGUAUAAAAAACGUGCUAUAGAUCACCAAGAACUGACGGUAGAUCACCAUACUGGGGAUCAUGGCGCCUUUGCUACCUGCAUGGACCCUGGCUGGAUUUACACCAUCCCUUCAAGGAUUGGCGAUUGUAGCCAGAAUUAGCUAUACAUUAAAAAAACACAUAUUCUACGACUAAAAACACGUAAUAUGAAAACACCUUUGAAUGAAAUGGGACUUACAUACUAUCAGCAUUGGAAAAGGUGAGUAUGAUUGAGUUAAGAUUUUAAGUCACAUGGGCAAUAUUUCAGCCAUAUCGUGACUAUUAACAAGUUAUAAUGUCAUAAGAAAUCAAUAUAAAAACCUGUCGGCGAAGGACAGUAAAAAUAACAAGAAUAUCGCAGAUGCAAUUGUAAAACUAGUAUGAAAAUCUAAAAAUAUCUUAACUAUGAAAGACAUUAAAAUAUA